Molecule: long non-coding RNA, 538 nt
Filed under: Mustela putorius furo (domestic ferret)
Lineage: Eukaryota; Metazoa; Chordata; Mammalia; Carnivora; Mustelidae
Description: lncRNA (ENSMPUG00000027837.1)
Source: RNAcentral
CUCAUCUCUGUGCCUGGGACAUCCUAACCUAAUCUGCUUUUUCUGCCUAAGUAGUGCCCACCAACAGCUGGCAAAAACCGUGUCCGUGACUAGUGAGAAGCCAGAGGGACUGAGGUUUUGGCAUGGAUUGAGAAAGAGCUGGCAGCCUUCCUCCUACUCCUUCCACCUGGCUUCCUCAGCAAGAUGGGCACACUCGAAGAGCUGGCAGAGGCAGGCUCCCCUUCUCUUCAGGAAACAGAUGCCUCUUGGCUGGAACACGGCCAUCACCCUCGUGUGGCUUCUGAACCCAGAGCGCAGAAGGCUGGGGUGUUAGAAUGCCAGCGCCUGCUUCCAGCGAAACCACACCACCAGCUGGUAAGGAUCCCUGUUUCCCAUCCUCUGAGGUUCCCAGCCCAGCAUUUCUCUGCCCUGAGGAACAGUGGUUCUGCAAGAGACUCUGGGAUGGAGGUGGCCAUGCUCAGAAACGUGGGGAGGUGUGCAAACUGUAUUUCCCUCCUGGAGACGUUUGUGGCCAGUAGGCACCAUAAAACCCCCCGAA